UAGCCUACGGGGCGCAGCAGUGAGGAAUAUUGGUCAAUGGGCGAGAGCCUGAACCAGCCAAGUCGCGUGAGGGAGUACUGCCCUAUGGGUUGUAAACCUCUUUUGUCGGGGAGCAAAAGCCGGACGUGUCCGGCUGUGAGAGUACCCGAAGAAAAAGCAUCGGCUAACUCCGUGCCAGCAGCCGCGGUAAUACGUAGGGGGCAAGCGUUAUCCGGAUUUACUGGGUGUAAAGGGUGCGUAGGUGGCAGGGCAAGUCAGAUGUGAAAGCCCGGGGCCCAACCCCGGUACUGCAUUUGAAACUGUCC
This 305-nucleotide ribosomal RNA is filed under the name uncultured bacterium. RNAcentral's name for it is "bacterial SSU rRNA". It matches the Rfam family "Bacterial small subunit ribosomal RNA", at positions 334 to 638 of the family's 1533-position model. The record is from RNAcentral.